Molecule: transfer RNA, 71 nt
Filed under: Ophiophagus hannah (king cobra)
Lineage: Eukaryota; Metazoa; Chordata; Lepidosauria; Squamata; Elapidae
Rfam family: tRNA
About the family: Transfer RNA (tRNA) molecules are approximately 80 nucleotides in length.
Source: Rfam by way of RNAcentral
GUGAGUUUGGUCUAGUGGUUAAGGCACCAGGCUAGAAAGCUGGAAGUUGUAAGUUCAAGUCCUGUCUUAUC